This 254-nucleotide ribosomal RNA is filed under the name uncultured bacterium. RNAcentral's name for it is "partial 16S ribosomal RNA". It matches the Rfam family "Bacterial small subunit ribosomal RNA", at positions 524 to 777 of the family's 1533-position model. The record is from RNAcentral.
UACGUAGGGACCAAGCGUUGUUCGGAUUUACUGGGCGUAAAGGGCGCGUAGGCGGCAAUUCAAGUCAUCUGUGAAAUCUCCGGGCUUAACUCGGAACGGUCAGAUGAUACUGCUUUGCUAGAGUGCGGAAGGGGCAAUCGGAAUUCUUGGUGUAGCGGUGAAAUGCGUAGAUAUCGGGAGGAACACCAGUGGCGAAGGCGACUACCUGGCCUGUUCUUGACGCUGAGGCGCGAAAGCUAGGGGAGCAAACGGGG